RNAcentral lists this long non-coding RNA (2445 nucleotides) under Canis lupus familiaris (dog). RNAcentral's name for it is "lncRNA (ENSCAFG00845029020.1)". The record is from RNAcentral. Lineage: Eukaryota; Metazoa; Chordata; Mammalia; Carnivora; Canidae.
CAUGCAGGGAGCCCGAUGUGGGACUCGAUCUGCCAUGAUCCCAGGUCUCCAGGAUCAUGCCCUGGGCUGAAGGCAGAGGCUCAACCACUGAGCUCCCCCAGGCGUCCCCAUACUAAGUGUUCUUUGCAUUGUCCUGGGCCUGGGGACCAAAAGCAGGCCCACUCUGGCAGCAAGAGGUAGGAGCUAUGGCUUUGUGGAGGACUGCUCCUUCCCCCGGCAGCCCUAGUCUAGAGAAAGGCAAGGAGGAUGUGGCCCUCCCCAGUUUCAAGACAGAAAAACUAGGCCUCACCUCCCAUUGGAACUGGAAAGACCAGCCAAGCUCAUCCAGAUGGCGGAGGCUGAAAGCAGGGAGUCGCACUCCCAGUUUUCUCCCUCCCAGGCUUGCCUCCUGGGCUGAUAAUGUCACCACCAGACCGCCGCACGCGUGGACAGGGUCUCGGUGAUGGCUCCCCAGCCACCCUAGGGUGCCAGCUCCUUCCUGUUAGUUCCCAAGGCUGCAGCAGGGCUGGGGGAGGCCCGCAGGGUACUUCGGGAGCAAAGCUGAAAGAGGCGCUGUCUCGGGGCUGUGAGGGUGCUCCGACCACCACUGUCUGCAAAUCCUGCACCCUAGCCCCGUCCCUGCCUCACUGUGGCCCCUAGACCUGCCCUGCCUGGACUCGGGGUGCUCACCCAGAGAGAAUUUUGUGCCCGGGGAGCCCCAGCCUGCUGGCCUUCCUGCCUGGGAAGAAGAUAAUGCAAUUGGACUCCGGUUCCAGGCCGUCUGGCUCCAGCGUGCUCGCGAGCCUGUGCACUCAGCAGCCACCAGAAGGGCCUUCCUACCACCCCCCUGGAGGGCUGCCCGUGCCCUGGGCCAAGGACCCCUGGGACACUCGCUCCUGUGCCACACGAACCCUCCCCUGGAACUGCUCCUCCCUGGCGGUGAGAAGGCCCAGAGAGAGGAGCUGCAGGAAAAGCCAGGUGCCUUGGGCUCCAACCUCGGCGCGGCCCCUGCUGCCAGGGAGACCCUCUCCUUCUCAGCCAGCUUAUUCUGGUCCCUCCCUCUGGAACACCUUCCCUAGAGCCCGGCCCGGCACCCUGGAGUCCUACCCGCCGAGGAUAGGCCCAUAGGGUCGGACUGUCAGCACAUAACAAAUGUCUGAUGGUUGAACGAAUGGAAUGAAUGGACUCAUCUCAAAUGACAUCUCUUCGGAGGAGCCUGACUGGCACCCUCCCUCACCAGGGCGCCCCUUGCAGCACGGGCCUUACGGGACUAUAUCAGGCCCACACUGUGCCCAAUGUCGUCAGGCUAGGUGGCACCGCGAGCUCUGGGACUGGCCUGGCUUUGGAUCCCCUUCCCCAGUGCACACUAAGUUCCCCCAGGAAAUGUCACUGGUAUUAAAUGGAAUCCUGCGACCUUGGGGAUGAUCCUCGGUUUCACUGCCUGUGAAAUGGGCUACUACUGGCUCCACUAGCUUCCACCUGUCCUGGCUUCGAGGCCCACCAGCCACACUGCCUGGCUGCAGAACAUAACCACAUUGGGAGACCCUCCUUCAGCCUGGACAAGGACUAGACUCUCUUCCUUGGGUCUGAGGCCACCAGGAUCUGGUUCAGGGCUGAACCCCUCCUGGCCGAGGUGGGAGCUGGACAGGGUUGAAGGUGGGCACACACAGACUUCUGUCCCGUGGUCAUUUCGGUCGGGCCUCUCUCAAAACUUGAUGACAAGGUGUGAGAUGGAAUUUGGGGACCAAAGGCUCUCAGGGGAAGCUCACCCAUUGGGCAAAAGAAACCCCACCCAGUGCUGUCCCUGCUCUGUAUGGGCAUUGUUCCGUUUUCCGUCACCCCCUGCAAACUGGGACCCCGGUCUCCGUUCUCCAACUGCAGGCUCUCCAGAACGGAAUGAGGCCACCCUCAGAAGUUCUGCUGCUCUGCUCAGUGAGGAUCUGGGGACAGUCAGGCCCAUCAGUCAGUGACUCUGGGUCUUCCAGCGGGGGUGGGUACGGAGGGCUGAUGCCAGAGCCCGAGCCAGGUCCCAGGGGACACCCACCUGCAGCACCCACCCGACAGCUGGGGCUCUGGGCACGGAGACGGGAGUCCUGGAGACCAGUGUGGGGCUGGAGGCUGAGCGCCGGGGCUCUCGGAAGGCCACGCUGUCAGGUGGGCCGUGGGGUCGGUGCUCGGCGGCCCACAGGUCCAUGCGGGGCUGGUCGGUCGCGAGAGGACCCCGAAGAGGGCCUCGCCUACCGGCUGGGCCGCCUGUCCUGAGGCCCCGACCAGCCAGUGCCUCCAUCACAGCUUGCAGAACCCUGGAGACGGGAGGCAUGUGCUCAGGGGCCGGGUCUGGGGGCUCCCGGCCUGCCCCGGGGUGGGGAUGACACCUGGGCGGCCUGUCCUUUGAGUGGAAGCCCAGCCUGGCUAAGAUUUCCCUGCGGGUGGCACCCUGACCCCUCUCGGGCCCCACUCUGACCC